Molecule: long non-coding RNA, 722 nt
Organism: Xenia sp. Carnegie-2017
Lineage: Eukaryota; Metazoa; Cnidaria; Anthozoa; Malacalcyonacea; Xeniidae
Exons: 7
Source: RefSeq, a predicted model, not a curated record
UAUUAAUUUUACACACGUUUGAAGAUUGUCAGUGAUUAUCCGGCCCUCCAACCAGCACCUGGAAAUGGAGGAAUUUUGGCAUUGUGUAUAUCAAAAUGAUUAGCUUGGUCAGGGGCACUCGACUGCAACAGUGAUCUUUUAUUCUGGGCUAUUGUUUAUUCAUAAUCUGUGGACUGCGUGUCGUGUAGUGGUGAAGUGUCGUAAAUAUGGCAUUAUUGUACUUUGAUGGUGUUUAUGAAAAACUGUACAAAUCCGACGGCGGCGAAAACGAGAAGUACAUAGACGGUUACAUUGAAAUUAAGGAAAAAGAAGUGGAUCAAGUAUUGGUGCGAACUUAAGAAAAGAAUCUUCAUUUCUUCAACAAUGUUAACACUCAAAUUAAGGAGCAUUAUGUGGGCUGUUUCGUUCUGGAAAGUGGGACGAACAUUGAAUCAAAGAGAGAUAAUACAAAAUGGAAGUUGGUUAAAGAAAAUGGAAAGUUGAAUUUGAAAACUGAUAACCUUGCUCUUAAAGAACAGUGGAUCGAUGCAUUUCAACAAUCAAUUAGGGGGAAAAUGCCUUCAAGAGCAGAUAAUGUUUUACGUGGCAGUGGACCUGCACAUUCACCAUCUAGAACAUACCCUCAUCGCUCCAGCAGUGACUACAAACUGCAAGAAAAAGAGUUACAAGAUUUGCGAAACUUUUCUCGAGCAACUUGUAAUAACUCCUCUCUGUCUGAAGAU